AAUGAACGUUGGCGGCGUGGAUUAGGCAUGCAAGUCGCGCGAGAAACCUCCUUCGGGAGGCGGACAGCGGCGAAAGGGAGAGUAACGCGUAGAUACCUACCCUGGGGACUGGGAUAGCGGUGGGAAACUGCCGGUAAUACCGGAUAACGUCUCCGGACCAAAUGGUGUGAUUCCGCCCUUGGAUGGGUCUGCGUCCUAUUAGCUAGUUGGAGGGGUAAAAGCCCACCAAGGCAAAGAUGGGUACCGGGUGUGAGAGCAUGGCCCGGCUCACUGGGACUGAGACACUGCCCAGACACCUACGGGUGGCUGCAGUCGAGAAUCUUCCGCAAUGGACGCAAGUCUGACGGAGCGACGCCGCGUGCGGGAUGAAGGCCUUCGGGUUGUAAACCGCUGUCAGUGGGGAGCAAAUCCAUAAGGGUUCUCUCUUAUGGUUGAGCUAUCCGCAGAGGAAGCGCAGGCUAAGUUCGUGCCAGCAGCCGCGGUAACACGAACUGCGCGAACGUUAUUCGGAAUCACUGGGCUUAAAGAGUUCGUAGGCGGCCUGAUCAGUCGGGUGUGAAAUCCCUCGGCUUAACCGAGGAACUGCGCCCGAUACUGUCAGGCUAGAGGGAGACAGGGGUGAGCGGAACUGAUGGUGGAGCGGUGAAAUGCGUUGAUAUCAUCAGGAACACCGGUGGCGAAGGCGGCUCACUGGGUCUCUUCUAACGCUGAGGAACGAAAGCUAGGGGAGCGAACGGG
Molecule: ribosomal RNA, 738 nt
Filed under: uncultured bacterium
Lineage: Bacteria
Description: bacterial SSU rRNA
Rfam family: Bacterial small subunit ribosomal RNA
Source: RNAcentral